CCUACGGGAGGCAGCAGUGGGGAAUUUUGGACAAUGGGGGAAACCCUGAUCCAGCCAUUCCGCGUGAGUGAAGAAGGCCUUCGGGUUGUAAAGCUCUUUCGGCAGGAACGAAACGGCGGACUCUAACAUAGUCUGUCAAUGACGGUACCUGAAGAAGAAGCACCGGCUAACUACGUGCCAGCAGCCGCGGUAAUACGUAGGGUGCGAGCGUUAAUCGGAAUUACUGGGCGUAAAGCGUGCGCAGGCGGCUUUGUAAGACGGAUGUAAAAUCCCUGGGCUUAACCUAGGAACUGCGUUCGUGACUGCAAAGCUAGAGUGCGGCAGAGGGGGGUGGAAUUCCUGGUGUAGCAGUGAAAUGCGUAGAGAUCAGGAGGACCACCGAUGGCGAAGGCAGCCCCCUGGGUUGGCACUGACGCUCAUGCACGAAAGCGUGGGGAGCAAACAGGAUUAGAUCCCCUUGUAGU
RNAcentral lists this ribosomal RNA (464 nucleotides) under uncultured Rhodocyclaceae bacterium. RNAcentral's name for it is "partial 16S ribosomal RNA". It matches the Rfam family "Bacterial small subunit ribosomal RNA", at positions 338 to 794 of the family's 1533-position model. The record is from RNAcentral. Lineage: Bacteria; Pseudomonadati; Pseudomonadota; Betaproteobacteria; Rhodocyclales; Rhodocyclaceae.